GAUGAACGCUGGCGGCGUGCCUAAUACAUGCAAGUCGAGCGAACGGACGAGAAGCUUGCUUCUCUGAUGUUAGCGGCGGACGGGUGAGUAACACGUGGAUAACCUACCUAUAAGACUGGGAUAACUUCGGGAAACCGGAGCUAAUACCGGAUAAUAUUUUGAACCGCAUGGUUCAAAAGUGAAAGACGGUCUUGCUGUCACUUAUAGAUGGAUCCGCGCUGCAUUAGCUAGUUGGUAAGGUAACGGCUUACCAAGGCAACGAUGCAUAGCCGACCUGAGAGGGGGGAUGGCCACACUGGAACUGAGACACGGUCCAGACUCCUACGGGAGGCAGCAGUAGGGAAUCUUCCGCAAUGGGCGAAAGCCUGACGGAGCAACGCCGCGUGAGUGAUGAAGGUCUUCGGAUCGUAAAACUCUGUUAUUAGGGAAGAACAUAUGUGUAAGUAACUGUGCACAUCUUGACGGUACCUAAUCAGAAAGCCACGGCUAACUACGUG
Molecule: ribosomal RNA, 497 nt
Filed under: uncultured bacterium
Lineage: Bacteria
Description: partial 16S ribosomal RNA
Rfam family: Bacterial small subunit ribosomal RNA
Source: RNAcentral